RNAcentral lists this ribosomal RNA (2141 nucleotides) under Salmonella enterica subsp. enterica serovar Johannesburg. Its description in RNAcentral is "partial 23S ribosomal RNA". It matches the Rfam family "Bacterial large subunit ribosomal RNA", at positions 530 to 2550 of the family's 2925-position model. The record is from RNAcentral. Lineage: Bacteria; Pseudomonadati; Pseudomonadota; Gammaproteobacteria; Enterobacterales; Enterobacteriaceae.
CGAGGGGAGUGAAAAAGAACCUGAAACCGUGUACGUACAAGCAGUGGGAGCCCCACCACUAAGCCAGUGGUGAACUCCACAUACGCAUCCUUUGCUGAGGAUACGGUUAACGGAGCGAAAGCGACGUUCAACCGCAAAAAAAGAAGCAGAGGGGGCUUAGUGGUGGGGUGACUGCGUACCUUUUGUAUAAUGGGUCAGCGACUUAUAUUCUGUAGCAAGGUUAACCGAAUAGGGGAGCCGGAGGGAAACCGAGUCUUAAUUGGGCGUUAAGUUGCAGGGUAUAGACCCGAAACCCGGUGAUCUAGCCAUGGGCAGGUUGAAGGUUGGGUAACACUAACUGGAGGACCGAACCGACUAAUGUUGAAAAAUUAGCGGAUGACCUGUGGCUGGGGGUGAAAGGCCAAUCAAACCGGGAGAUAGCUGGUUCUCCCCGAAAGCUAUUUAGGUAGCGCCUCGUGAAUUCAUCUCCGGGGGUAGAGCACUGUUUCGGCUAGGGGGCCAUCCCGGCUUACCAACCCGAUGCAAACUGCGAAUACCGGAGAAUGUUAUCACGGGAGACACACGGCGGGUGCUAACGUCCGUCGUGAAGAGGGAAACAACCCAGACCGCCAGCUAAGGUCCCAAAGUCAUGGUUAAGUGGGAAACGAUGUGGGAAGGCCCAGACAGCCAGGAUGUUGGCUUAGAAGCAGCCAUCAUUUAAAGAAAGCGUAAUAGCUCACUGGUCGAGUCGGCCUGCGCGGAAGAUGUAACGGGGCUAAACCAUGCACCGAAGCUGCGGCAGCGACGCUGAUGCGUUGUUGGGUAGGGGAGCGUUCUGUAAGCCUGCGAAGGUGUGUCGUGAGGCAUGCUGGAGGUAUCAGAAGUGCGAAUGCUGACAUAAGUAACGAUAAAGCGGGUGAAAAGCCCGCUCGCCGGAAGACCAAGGGUUCCUGUCCAACGUUAAUCGGGGCAGGGUGAGUCGACCCCUAAGGCGAGGCCGAAAGGCGUAGUCGAUGGGAAACGGGUUAAUAUUCCCGUACUUGGUGUUACUGCGAAGGGGGGACGGAGAAGGCUAUGUUGGCCGGGCGACGGUUGUCCCGGUUUAAGCGUGUAGGUGUGUGUUCCAGGUAAAUCCGGUUCACUUUAACACUGAGGCGUGAUGACGAGGCACUACGGUGCUGAAGCAACAAAUGCCCUGCUUCCAGGAAAAGCCUCUAAGCAUCAGGUAACAUCAAAUCGUACCCCAAACCGACACAGGUGGUCAGGUAGAGAAUACCAAGGCGCUUGAGAGAACUCGGGUGAAGGAACUAGGCAAAAUGGUGCCGUAACUUCGGGAGAAGGCACGCUGACACGUAGGUGAAGUGAUUUACUCAUGGAGCUGAAGUCAGUCGAAGAUACCAGCUGGCUGCAACUGUUUAUUAAAAACACAGCACUGUGCAAACACGAAAGUGGACGUAUACGGUGUGACGCCUGCCCGGUGCCGGAAGGUUAAUUGAUGGGGUCAGCGCAAGCGAAGCUCCUGAUCGAAGCCCCGGUAAACGGCGGCCGUAACUAUAACGGUCCUAAGGUAGCGAAAUUCCUUGUCGGGUAAGUUCCGACCUGCACGAAUGGCGUAAUGAUGGCCAGGCUGUCUCCACCCGAGACUCAGUGAAAUUGAACUCGCUGUGAAGAUGCAGUGUACCCGCGGCAAGACGGAAAGACCCCGUGAACCUUUACUAUAGCUUGACACUGAACAUUGAGCCUUGAUGUGUAGGAUAGGUGGGAGGCUUUGAAGUGUGGACGCCAGUCUGCAUGGAGCCGGCCUUGAAAUACCACCCUUUAAUGUUUGAUGUUCUAACGUGGACCCGUGAUCCGGGUUGCGGACAGUGUCUGGUGGGUAGUUUGACUGGGGCGGUCUCCUCCUAAAGAGUAACGGAGGAGCACGAAGGUUGGCUAAUCCUGGUCGGACAUCAGGAGGUUAGUGCAAUGGCAUAAGCCAGCUUGACUGCGAGCGUGACGGCGCGAGCAGGUGCGAAAGCAGGUCAUAGUGAUCCGGUGGUUCUGAAUGGAAGGGCCAUCGCUCAACGGAUAAAAGGUACUCCGGGGAUAACAGGCUGAUACCGCCCAAGAGUUCAUAUCGACGGCGGUGUUUGGCACCUCGAUGUCGGCUCAUCACAUCCUGG